AGAGACUGAAAAUAAGAAAGGGGUGAGGCCUAAGGGACAAUCAGGAUGUUUUUCAGAGAGAAGUGUGGAUGCUGGACAGGAAGAACCACAGAUACCAGAUACGGCUGCGUAUCUUCUGGAUACGGAAGGAUCACACUGCACAGAGUGCUGGACUUGCAGGAGCCCCGCUUCUCAACCUCCAUCGCUUUAUGAAUGAAUUCACCAGAAAGAAAAGGAAGAAUCAACACUUUCAGAGAUGGAGCCUGUUGAGCCACAGUACCAACUAGUCAAUGCUGAAUCGACUUCUCCCUUUCUACAUUGCCUGAGAGAAGUCAUUGGGGAAUACUCUGUACACGAAUUUUCACUGUUGGGGAAAACAGAGAGUCAAGGGAUUGGAUUGUGGAUUGCAUUGGUGGUUUUCCUCAGUUUCCUCAUCUUCUCCACAAGUUUCUACAUAUCGAAUGCAGAGCAGCCCUUCUUCAAAGGACCUCCUACGGAAGCUGCUAAGGAACUCAGUCUGUAGCUCUGCGUGGAGCCAUGUGUAAACACUGAACUGAGACCUGCCACCUCCUACUACCUAAGGGCCCAUUUUCAUCUGAUAUCAUCCCCCAGAAACAAACUCAUGAUGACUUCCAUGUUUUUUUUAGAUUAGAUACAUGGAGAAUUUUCCUUUCCCUUAGAAUUAAAAUCCUGCAUUCUAAUUUUCA
Molecule: long non-coding RNA, 686 nt
Filed under: Homo sapiens (human)
Lineage: Eukaryota; Metazoa; Chordata; Mammalia; Primates; Hominidae
Description: HSALNT0371360
Source: RNAcentral